Molecule: long non-coding RNA, 621 nt
Filed under: Ananas comosus (pineapple)
Lineage: Eukaryota; Viridiplantae; Streptophyta; Magnoliopsida; Poales; Bromeliaceae
Description: long non-coding RNA (ACOM_LNC004034)
Source: RNAcentral
AUUUCAAAUCUAAGGAGAGAUGUAGAUGAAAAAUCAAAAAUAUAUUUAUAAGUAUUUAAUUUGCAGAGUGUUAGGAUUUGAUUAAAUUUGUAAAUUAAUUCUAGUUGGAUAAGAAUUAAUAUUUAAAUCUAUUGGAGAUAAAUUAAGAUUUAGAUAUUACUUAGAGUAUAAAUCUAACUAGAUUAGGAUAAAUGUUUAAAUCUAUUGGAGUAAUCCUAAAUAUACUAGGAUUUGGGUACGGUUUAUUGUAAGCAUUAUAUAAGCACUAUGUGGGGUGCUUUUGGAGAGAGAGUACGGCCAAAAAGUUGAAACUCUUUGGUGGGUUGUAUGAGAGAGAGAGUUGGCCAGUUGCAUGCACCUAGUGCAUGGGUGCAUAGGUGCAUGUGAGAGAGAAAAGGAGUUGUCUUUUAGAUUUAUAAAAGACGAGAGAAGGGUAGGAGAUAUUCAGAAAGACGGCUCGGGUUAUAGCUUCUCUAUUGCAGAAGAGGAGUCGGGUGUAAUCUUCUCUUAUUUAAUGAAUCUUAUUUUAUUCGCAUAUUUUCUGUUUUGAUUUUUUUUCUCUCUUUUGUGAUUGUUCAGUUUUUACUGAGGAGACCGGUUUAUGGUAAAAAUUCGAUUUGA